GACGUAGGGGGCGAGCGUUGUCCGGAUUCAUUGGGCGUAAAGAGCGCGUAGGCGGUUCGGAAAGUCGGAUGUGAAAACUCGGAGCUCAACUCCGGGCCUGCAUCCGAUACUCUCGGACUAGAGGUAGGUAGGGGAGAUCGGAAUUCCUGGUGUAGCGGUGAAAUGCGCAGAUAUCAGGAGGAACACCGGUGGCGAAGGCGGAUCUCUGGGCCUUGCCUGACGCUGAGGCGCGAAAGCUAGGGGAGCGAACAGG
Molecule: ribosomal RNA, 253 nt
Filed under: uncultured bacterium
Lineage: Bacteria
Description: partial 16S ribosomal RNA
Rfam family: Bacterial small subunit ribosomal RNA
Source: RNAcentral